RNAcentral lists this ribosomal RNA (801 nucleotides) under uncultured bacterium. Its description in RNAcentral is "bacterial SSU rRNA". It matches the Rfam family "Bacterial small subunit ribosomal RNA", at positions 8 to 796 of the family's 1533-position model. The record is from RNAcentral.
AGAGUUUGAUCAUGGCUCAGAACGAACGCUGGCGGCGCGUUUUAAGCAUGCAAGUCGAACGGUAGCAGGUAGCAAUACCUGCGAGAGUGGCGCACGGGUGAGUAACACGUAGGUGAUCUACCUUUGGGUGGGGGGAUAGUCCAUGGAAACAUGGGGUAAUACCGCAUGAGGCCUCUGGGUUGGACCCUGGAGGUGAAAGGAGCAAUUGUUCCGCCUGAGGAUGAGCCUGCGGUCCAUUAGCUAGUUGGCGGGGUAAGAGCCCACCAAGGCUACGAUGGAUAGCCGGCCUGAGAGGGUGUACGGCCACACUGGGACUGAGACACGGCCCAGACUCCUACGGGAGGCAGCAGCUAAGAAUCUUCCGCAAUGGGGGAAACCCUGACGGAGCGACGCCGCGUGGGCGAUGAAGGCCGGAAGGUUGUAAAGCCCUUUUCUUGGCGAAGAAUAAGGCUGGGGGUGGACUACCCAGCUGAUGACGUUAGCCGAGGAAUAAGCCCCGGCCAAUUACGUGCCAGCAGCCGCGGUAACACGUAUGGGGCGAGCGUUGUUCGGAGUUAUUGGGCGUAAAGGGCGUGUAGGCGGCUCUCGCAAGCUUGGUGUUAAAGGUUUCGGCUUAACCGGAACAGUGCGCUGAGAACUGCGGAGCUGGAGUCUAGGAGGGGGAGCUGGAAUUCCUGGUGUAGGGGUGAAAUCUGUAGAUAUCAGGAAGAACACCGGUGGCGAAGGCGAGCUCCUGGCCAUAGACUGACGCUGAGGCGCGAAAGCGUGGGGAGCAAACAGGAUUAGAUACCCUAGUAGUCC